CAGCAGCCACGGGAAUACGUAGGUGGCAAGCGUUGUCCGGAAUUAUUGGGCGUAAAGGGCUCGCAGGCGGUUUCUUAAGUCUGAUGUGAAAGCCCUCGGCUCAACCGGGGAGGGUCAUUGGAAACUGGGAAACUUGAGUGCAGAAGAGGAGAGUAGAAUUCCACGUGUAGCGGUGAAAUGCGUAGAGAUGUGGAGGAACACCAGUGGCGAAGGCGACUCUCUGGUCUGUAACUGACGCUGAGGAGCGAAAGCGUGGGGAGCGAACAGGAUUAGAUACCCGAGUAGUCCCUGUCUCUUAUAC
Molecule: ribosomal RNA, 301 nt
Filed under: uncultured bacterium
Lineage: Bacteria
Description: partial 16S ribosomal RNA
Rfam family: Bacterial small subunit ribosomal RNA
Source: RNAcentral